This 72-nucleotide transfer RNA is filed under the name Candidatus Woesearchaeota archaeon. RNAcentral describes it as "tRNA-Gly". It matches the Rfam family "tRNA". From Rfam's summary of the family: Transfer RNA (tRNA) molecules are approximately 80 nucleotides in length. Their secondary structure includes four short double-helical elements and three loops (D, anti-codon, and T loops). Lineage: Archaea; Nanobdellati; Candidatus Woesearchaeota. The record is from RNAcentral.
GCGUCGGUAGUCUAGUGGCUAUGACAUACCCCUGCCACGGGUAUAGCCCGGGUUCAACUCCCGGCCGACGCA